UGGCCUAGUCUUUUUGUUCUGCAGGACAC
This 29-nucleotide non-coding RNA is filed under the name Homo sapiens (human). Lineage: Eukaryota; Metazoa; Chordata; Mammalia; Primates; Hominidae. The record is from RNAcentral.